RNAcentral lists this ribosomal RNA (313 nucleotides) under uncultured Treponema sp. RNAcentral's name for it is "bacterial SSU rRNA". It matches the Rfam family "Bacterial small subunit ribosomal RNA", at positions 355 to 660 of the family's 1533-position model. The record is from RNAcentral. Lineage: Bacteria; Pseudomonadati; Spirochaetota; Spirochaetia; Treponematales; Treponemataceae.
CUAAGAAUAUUCCGCAAUGGGCGAAAGCCUGACGGAGCGACGCCGCGUGGAUGAUGAAGGCCGGAAGGUUGUAAAGUCCUUUUAUGACAGAGGAAUAACCGGGGCAGGGAAUGGCACCGGGGUGACUGUAGGUCAUGAAUAAGCACCGGCUAAUUACGUGCCAGCAGCCGCGGUAACACGUAAGGUGCGAGCGUUGUUCGGAAUUAUUGGGCGUAAAGGGCAUGUAGGCGGACCUGCAAGCUUGGAGUGAAAUCCACGGGCUCAACCCGUGAACUGCUCCGGGAACUGCAGGACUCGAAUCGCUGAGGGGGAG